UACAGAGGUCUCGAGCGUUAGGCGGAAUCACUGGGCUUAAAGCGUGUGUAGGCGGAUCGGUAAGUACCUUGUGAAAUCCCACAGCUUAACUGUGGAACUGCUUGGUAUACUGCCAGUCUUGAGCCAGCUAGGGGCGACCGGAACAAAUGGUGGAGCGGUGAAAUGCGUAGAUAUCAUUCGGAACGCCAAUGGUGAAAACAGGUCGCUGGGGCUGUGCUGACGCUGAGACACGAAAGCCAGGGGAGCGAACGGG
Molecule: ribosomal RNA, 253 nt
Filed under: uncultured bacterium
Lineage: Bacteria
Description: partial 16S ribosomal RNA
Rfam family: Bacterial small subunit ribosomal RNA
Source: RNAcentral